UACGUAGGGGCGAGCGUUGUCCGGAAUUAUCGGGCGUAAAGGGUUCGUAGGCGGUAAUACAUGUCAGAUGUGAAAUCUUGUGGCUUAACCACAUCAAGCAUCUGAAACUGUAUAACUUGAGUGGAGGAGAGGUAAGUGGAAUUCCUAGUGUAGCGGUGAAAUGCGUAGAUAUUAGGAAGAAUACCAGUAGCGAAGGCGACUUACUGGCCUCUAACUGACGCUGAUGAACGAAAGCGUGGGUAGCAAACAGGAUUAGAUACCCUGGUA
RNAcentral lists this ribosomal RNA (267 nucleotides) under uncultured prokaryote. RNAcentral's name for it is "partial 16S ribosomal RNA". It matches the Rfam family "Bacterial small subunit ribosomal RNA", at positions 524 to 792 of the family's 1533-position model. The record is from RNAcentral.